This 497-nucleotide ribosomal RNA is filed under the name uncultured bacterium. RNAcentral's name for it is "partial 16S ribosomal RNA". It matches the Rfam family "Bacterial small subunit ribosomal RNA", at positions 28 to 507 of the family's 1533-position model. The record is from RNAcentral.
GAUGAACGCUGGCGGCGUGCCUAAUACAUGCAAGUCGAGCGAACGGACGAUAAGCUUGCUUCUCUGAUGUUAGCGACUGACGGGUGAGUAACACGUGGAUAACCUACCUAUAAGACUGGGAUAACUUCGGGAAACCGGAGCUAAUACCGGAUAAUAUUUUGAACCGCAUGGUUCAAGAGUGAAAGACGGUCUUGCUGUCACUUAUAGAUGGAUCCGCGCUGCAUUAGCUAGUUGGUAAGGUAACGGCUUACCAAGGCAACGAUGCAUAGCCGACCUGAGAGGGUGAUCGGCCACACUGGAACUGAGACACGGUCCAGACUCCUACGGGAGGCAGCAGUAGGGAAUCUUGCGCAAUGGGCGAAAGCCUGACGGAGCAACGCCGCGUGAGUGAUGAAGGUCUUCGGAUCGUAAAACUCUGUUAUUAGGGAAGAACAGAUGUGUAAGUAACUGUGCACAUCUUGACGGUACCUAAUCAGAAAGCCACGGCUAACUACGUG